UACAGAGGUCUCAAGCGUUGUUCGGAUUCAUUGGGCGUAAAGGGUGCGUAGGUGGCGGGGUAAGUCAGGUGUGAAAUUUCGGAGCUCAACUCCGAAACUGCAUUCGAUACUGCCGUGCUUGAGGACUGGAGAGGAGACUGGAAUUUACGGUGUAGCGGUGAAAUGCGUAGAUAUCGUAAGGAAGACCAGUGGCGAAGGCGGGUCUCUGGGACGGUACUGACGCUGAGACGCGAAAGCGUGGGGAGCGAACAGG
This 253-nucleotide ribosomal RNA is filed under the name uncultured bacterium. RNAcentral's name for it is "partial 16S ribosomal RNA". It matches the Rfam family "Bacterial small subunit ribosomal RNA", at positions 524 to 776 of the family's 1533-position model. The record is from RNAcentral.